This 685-nucleotide ribosomal RNA is filed under the name fungal sp. CFK8. RNAcentral describes it as "SSU rRNA". It matches the Rfam family "Eukaryotic small subunit ribosomal RNA", at positions 389 to 1080 of the family's 1831-position model. The record is from RNAcentral. Lineage: Eukaryota; Fungi.
AAGGAGCCUGAGAAACGGCUACUACAUCCAAGGAAGGCAGCAGGCGCGCAAAUUACCCAAUCCCGACACGGGGAGGUAGUGACAAUAAAUACUGAUACAGGGCUCUUUCGGGUCUUGUAAUCGGAAUGAGUACAAUUUAAAUCCCUUAACGAGGAACAAUUGGAGGGCAAGUCUGGUGCCAGCAGCCGCGGUAAUUCCAGCUCCAAUAGCGUAUAUUAAAGUUGUUGAGGUUAAAAAGCUCGUAGUUGAACCUUGGGCCUAGCCGGCCGGUCCGCCUCACCGCGUGCACUGGCUCGGCUGGGUCUUUCCUUCUGGAGAACCUCAUGCCCUUCACUGGGUGUGAUGGGGAACCAGGACUUUUACUCUGAACAAAUUAGAUCGCUUAAAGAAGGCCUAUGCUCGAAUACAUUAGCAUGGAAUAAUAGAAUAGGACGUGUGGUUCUAUUUUGUUGGUUUCUAGGACCGCCGUAAUGAUUAAUAGGGACAGUCGGGGGCAUCAGUAUUCAAUUGUCAGAGGUGAAAUUCUUGGAUUUAUUGAAGACUAACUACUGCGAAAGCAUUUGCCAAGGAUGUUUUCAUUAAUCAGGAACGAAAGUUAGGGGAUCGAAGACGAUCAGAUACCGUCGUAGUCUUAACCAUAAACUAUGCCGAUUAGGGAUCGGACGGCGUUAUUUUUUGACCCGUU